GGCGCUGCCAUUUUCCCGACCGGUCUCCCGUCCCCAUCGCGCCUGUUGGCUGCGGGGAAUGCGGAACGGGGCCCGGCUAUUUCCACCCUAUUUCCCAUAAUUCCCUUCCCCAUUGAGCCGGCCGCGCCGGCCAUCUUGCGUACGGGCCGGAUAAUUGACGUGCCACGUCGUAUACGUUCGUUUAUGAGCAUGCAGCGUACGGGCCGAAUAAUUGACGUGCCACGUAUACAUGUACGUUCGUUGUGAGCAUGCAGCGCAUGCAACAGCACAGCAUUGCUGACAUGGUUGAUGUAUCUGUUCCUCCUUGCUCCAGUUUUCUCUUUGAACGGACUCCCGAUGACACCCACAUCACAUGACCAGCUCCAAGCAUGCUCCAGUGCAUGCUUCAACCAGUUCCUAAAGCAAGAAUCUCAACUCAAGACGAAGACACCUAUUCCUUCCAGUUCAACUGCAAGAUUCCUGCUUUUUCUCUUUACCCAUUCAAAACACAUUUUCCUUCUAGCCAUAAUUUUAUUUUUAGAAGUCA
This 526-nucleotide long non-coding RNA is filed under the name Patiria miniata (bat star). RNAcentral describes it as "uncharacterized LOC119740274". Lineage: Eukaryota; Metazoa; Echinodermata; Asteroidea; Valvatida; Asterinidae. The record is from RNAcentral.